GCGGCAUGCCUUACACAUGCAAGUCGAACGGCAGCACGGGUGCUUGCACCUGGUGGCGAGUGGCGAACGGGUGAGUAAUACAUCGGAACAUGUCCUGUAGUGGGGGAUAGCCCGGCGAAAGCCGGAUUAAUACCGCAUACGAUCUGAGGAUGAAAGCGGGGGACCUUCGGGCCUCGCGCUAUAGGGUUGGCCGAUGGCUGAUUAGCUAGUUGGUGGGGUAAAGGCCUACCAAGGCGACGAUCAGUAGCUGGUCUGAGAGGACGACCAGCCACACUGGGACUGAGACACGGCCCAGACUCCUACGGGAGGCAGCAGUGGGGAAUUUUGGACAAUGGGCGAAAGCCUGAUCCAGCAAUGCCGCGUGUGUGAAGAAGGCCUUCGGGUUGUAAAGCACUUUUGUCCGGAAAGAAAUCCUUGGUUCUAAUAUAGCCGGGGGAUGACGGUACCGGAAGAAUAAGCACCGGCUAACUACGUGCCAGCAGCCGCGGUAAUACGUAGGGUGCAAGCGUUAAUCGGAACUACUGGGCGUAAAGCGUGCGCAGGCGGUUUGCUAAGACCGAUGUGAAAUCCCCGGGCUCAACCUGGGAACUGCAUUGGUGACUGGCAGGCUAGAGUAUGGCAGANGGGGGUAGAAUUCCACGUGUAGCAGUGAAAUGCGUAGAGAUGUGGAGGAAUACCGAUGGCGAA
Molecule: ribosomal RNA, 687 nt
Filed under: uncultured Burkholderia sp.
Lineage: Bacteria; Pseudomonadati; Pseudomonadota; Betaproteobacteria; Burkholderiales; Burkholderiaceae
Description: bacterial SSU rRNA
Rfam family: Bacterial small subunit ribosomal RNA
Source: RNAcentral